This 1086-nucleotide long non-coding RNA is filed under the name Nicotiana benthamiana. Its description in RNAcentral is "long non-coding RNA (NBEN_LNC007946)". Lineage: Eukaryota; Viridiplantae; Streptophyta; Magnoliopsida; Solanales; Solanaceae. The record is from RNAcentral.
GCCCAAUGACCUCUAUUUAUAUACUUUAAUAUACAAUGAUGCUUAUUUGCUCAUUACUUCCUCUCUGAAGGCCCUAAUGGAAGUGGAAAGAGUUCAAUCUUCAGAGUGCUUCGUGGUUUAUGGCCAGUUGUUAGUGGAAGACUAGUCAAACCAUGUCAAACGCUUAACUCAAAAUUGGGAAGUGACAUCUUCUAUGUACCGCAACGACCAUAUACCUGCUUAGGAACCCUACGGGAUCAAAUCAUAUAUCCUCUCUCAAAAGACUAACUCAGAAUUGGGAAGUGACAUUUUCUAUGUACCGCAACGACCAUAUACCUGCUUAGGAACCCUACGGGAUCAAAUCAUAUAUCCUCUCUCACGUGAAGUGGCAGAGAAAAGGGUGCUGGCUUCUUUCCGAGAAGGUAAUUUUCUGGGUAUAUUGUAUUCCCCAGUUCUUUUUAUGAAUUGACUUGCUAUUAAUCUGUUAUAAUCUGUGCUUGAGGUAAACUCGUUGAAAAUCAUACAGCUAACAUAGGGAAGCGGAUUUGUAAUUGACAGGUUUAUGUGAGUUCCAUAUUAACUUCUCCCGAUGUAUAUAGGUGAUACAAUAAUUUACUUGGAUAUGGAGUUCUACUAUUGUCACUUGUUUUAUUUAAAAAAAGGAUCCCAAUGUGGACUGUGAGAGGGCUAUUCAUACAAGUUUGUUGUGGUUUUCCAAAGGGGUAAAAAAGUUCUUGUGAUUUCAUACUUGGUUUUCCUUAAGUAGUUGCAAAAACUCUGUAGCUGUUAACUAAUAGGAGUAGGAGUUAUUAUUAUGAAAAAGGUAUUCAGAAAUGGAGAUGACAAUUGACAUUGGUUUUGAACCAUCCAAGUUUGUACUUGUGUUUCUUGUCUUUCAAGAGAUUGCUCAGAAAAACCGCGGGUAUAGCUUAAGUGGGUUGAGAAACAAAGUAGCAGCUCUUAAGAAAAGAGAGCAAGAUGUAAUUGAAAAUUAAGAAAAUUACUGAUAAUCUCACAUUGGUCCCGAAUCUGUAAUUUUCAACUCGUAUUUAACAAAGGGUCAUAAUUUUGUUGAUGUAAGCCUCUGGUAUCAGGCCAUAAAUCCGG